This 253-nucleotide ribosomal RNA is filed under the name uncultured bacterium. RNAcentral describes it as "partial 16S ribosomal RNA". It matches the Rfam family "Bacterial small subunit ribosomal RNA", at positions 524 to 776 of the family's 1533-position model. The record is from RNAcentral.
GACAGAGGCCUCGAGCGUUAGGCGGAAUCACUGGGCUUAAAGCGUGUGUAGGCGGAUCGUUAAGUGCCUUGUGAAAUCCCACGGCUUAACUGUGGAACGGCUGGGCAUACUGGCGGUCUUGAGCCAUCUAGGGGCGACUGGAACAAACGGUGGAGCGGUGAAAUGCGUAGAUAUCGGGAGGAACACCUGAGGCGAAGGCGGGUUACUGGGCUGAUACUGACGCUGAUGCGCGAAAGCCAGGGGAGCAAACGGG